CUGGAGCCCUGUUGUGUGCAGCUGUCUGCAAUGGGUGCAUGGAGCAGCACUGAACAGCUGCAGCUGUUUCCUGCAGACAGACACGCAGACAUAACCCUGCCUUCUGCCUUCUGCCUGUGCUUUUCUGUUAUUUCCUAGCAUCCUGCAAGCUUUCUUUGUUGUUUGGAUUUUGUCUCUAGCUUUGCUUUGCGAUUUUUUCCUUUGCUCUGCUGUCGAAGAAGUGUUGAAUCCCAGCCUGAAGCACCGAGGGAGCAGCUGAGGAAAGGAGCCGGUGAGCCCUGGGAGCACAGCUGAAGGCAAUGGAGCUCCGUGGCUGGAAGGGGCGGAGCCUGGCUGCCCCUCCUGGAGCUCCUUUAGGGGCUGAGUGGCCAGGGGGAAGGGUUUGUUUCUGGAAGGUUCUGUGCUGUGGAGUUUGUUGUGUGGGUGAAUCCUUGGAGAUGGUGAGCUGGUGCUGGAAGUUGGUGGUGUCACUGUAUGAAUGAAGGUCAGUUCAGGAGUAGCUGCUGAUAGGAGGAAUGAGGUCCACGUUGAUGAACUGCAGCCUCUCCUGGCACCCACUGCAUGUACAGCUGAGUGUGGACCUGGAGGAAAGUGAUUCUGCAGCACUGAUGAGCUUUGUGACCCACCUCUUUGAACAAUCCCCUGCCGUGUGUUUCAGCCCAACGCGUGUGGAAGAAGUGUUCCAGGAAGUUUUCCUGCAAACUGGAGAGUAUCGGGGCAGGGGAUAAGGAGACAACUGGAAUUGCUGAGAAAGAGAGCGAGGUGGUGAGUGCUGCAGAUGGGGCACUGGAGUGGAAGACAGUGUGGUGGUGGGAUCAGGAGCUGGUGAGGGUGCUGCUCCCACGGAACAGGAGGCUGCUGCUGGAGGUGACAAACCUCAGGGAGAAGAAAAGGAGAUCGAUGUUUCCCAGG
Tympanuchus pallidicinctus (lesser prairie-chicken) is the source of this 912-nucleotide long non-coding RNA. RefSeq lists it as uncharacterized. The record is from RefSeq and is a predicted model, not a curated record. The transcript is spliced from 5 exons. NCBI's taxonomy places the organism in Eukaryota, Metazoa, Chordata, Aves, Galliformes, Phasianidae.